RNAcentral lists this ribosomal RNA (4390 nucleotides) under Triticum aestivum (bread wheat). RNAcentral's name for it is "partial small subunit ribosomal RNA". The record is from RNAcentral. Lineage: Eukaryota; Viridiplantae; Streptophyta; Magnoliopsida; Poales; Poaceae.
UAGGUUCUUUACUUUAGUCAGCAGGGGACGGAAGCAGAGGGGAGAGGAAGGGAAGCUGACGCUGGAGCUAAAACUUAAGAGAGAAGGCAGGAGUUAAGAGGUGCUUUGGGAUCGGAGGCGGCUGGAGGCGGUGGCGGUGGUGGUGGUGGCCGGCCGGUAUGCGGCGCCGCUGAUGGGAGGUUCUUCGACGGGCAGGUCCGGGUCUAGCUCGGGGGCGGAGGGGCGGCUCGCGGCGUGGCGGCGGCGCCCUCGGUCCCUCGCGGCAGGGGCCAGCGGCGCGCGCCGGCCGGCAGCGGCGGUCCCUGAGAGUCAGGACUCCAUGGCUAAAGCUUAGGGGGCCGCCCGACCCAACCCAACCGGGCCAAGCACGCGGAACCAGAGGGCGUGCGUUCCAAAGCAAUCCCAAAUGAGUACCCGACCCUAGUCCGCGGGCGUCGGCACCUAAAGGACUAGACAUACGACAUUAAAGUGGAGCUAGCGCAGCGUGCGAACGAACAACAACGCUUAAACAAAACGAGCGCAGCAGACUAAACCGGCACCAAACGAACCAAGGUAAGUCAACCAGCGGCAGCCAGUUCGUGGACUCUGGACUAGAAGGUACCUAGAGAAACAACCUUACGAAGGCAUGUCCGCUAACCCAAUCCAGUCGACGGCGUUCAGAACGUUUACACAGUGAUCAUAACGAAACAGGGUCGUAAAAGGGCUCAAUUCAAUAGACUGCUGGAUUCGACAUACGUAACGAACACCUUCUACUAGAGACUUACGACUCUGGUGCAAACCGGGUUACAUAUACUAUGUCAACGUAACGUGGACAAUGAAGAUUAGACGGUAAUUAAGUUUAUACGAAUGUUCCCCGAUCAGUAUGGAUCGUAAAGAGUCUGAUCCGAUUCAGACUAGACCAACCAUACGAGAACGAGAGUCGAUCGUCGGACAAGGUCAACUGAGUAAAAUUAAUGAUGACGUAUCGUAAAGUCUGGAACCGUAUUCAAUGUGAACUGUUCUCAUAGAACGUGUUUAAGACAGAAGACACAAUGACAAGUAAAGAUUUAGACCAGGGUCAGAGUCCGUACCAAAUAUCAGAGUAUAUAUAACAUAAAUAUGUAGAGACACCUCGAAUUAAACUAGGAUUUAUUUUCUACGAAAUUGUAACCACCUUGGAAUGGAUUACGAGAACAAGAGGACAAAUGGUCGAAGUCGAGAUCAAUUAAACCAGAUAACAAUAGGGUCUUCGACGUUACUGCCUCUAGUUCGACGGCUUAUAGGUCUUUCGAUGUAGUUCACUAGUGACCUCAAACCGGUCGUUGGUCAUAGGUAGACCAUUUAAAGGAUUCCAUAGUUAACCGUAUGAAGUAUGUUCCAGUUCAAGACGACGACGACGACGACGGGGACGUAAGCUCUCCUUGGACAGAGUCUCUUGACUACCUUCUAGAUCUGGGGGCUUCCGCCUAUUACGAAGUGAGGCCCAGAGUGUUCUUCGACGUUUGGUACCACCUAGACGAUGUCUCCGUGGACUUCGGCGGGUACAAUCCCAAAGAGACAGUGUUGAACUACUGGUACGUGCACUCGUUUGGCCUUGGAAAAGGAAACCUUGUUCUUUUCUUGUUCCGUCGGUCGAACUGGUUGACGUCUUCUGUAGGAAGCAGUUAAGUGUUCCUUUCGCGGUUCACCUUAGACGUCUAUUCUGGUUCAGGUUGUCGCUUCACGAGUCCUACUUCGACGCCCCCUAGGAACCAUGUAGUGUUUGGUUCGUCCGACAACGAAGUGGUUUGGGACUUCUGUAACUCUGUGGACUGGUUGGAUUUUCAGAUCGUUGGUUACCUGGUAGAAGUCCCUAGUUCUUCCAAAUGUGCAGUGCAAAAGGACUAUAAUAGUUCUGUGGACUAGACGAGUUGACAGUUUGUCGAUGGAUACGUUUCUCGUUUGGUAGGAGACUAGGUUAACUCAGUCUAAGACUAUGAGGUGUUCAUCAACUUCACUCCGGACAAUGAGCGUGGAACCCAGCGUUCUUUCGUGGUCGUCGGAGGUUCUUCGUCCUAUUCUUGGUCUCACGUUUCUUUGGUAACAGAUGAAGUGCAAGACGUGGGUUUGUCUUUUGUGACCUGUUACAGAAACAAAAACUACUCUUUACGUGUGGGUUUUGGCACCCCUUUAGACGUUUACCAUUGAGAGCGACGAACUCUUUAGAAUCUUCGAGUUUAUCCUUCCGAUUUCAUCUCGAAUUCUUCCAGGUAACAAGACUGUUCUAAAGACUGUUCUAGUGUGUCCUACGAUCCCUUCCUGUCGAUAGAAGAUCUUUACGUCGUAGUCUCUUAUUCCCUCUCUUUUGGUGGAGGAAAAGAAGUAACAGGGCUUGACCUUUUUGACGACUCUCGGUAAGAUCUUCGGGAUGUUGCCUCUUUGCCGACUUACCUUACCGAUUUCAACCCGAAGUCUUCUACGUCAACAGUCUCUUCAACGACGGGUGCUGUGACUUACUCCCACUUCUAUUCCAGAGAAGCGUCUUAUAAAGUAGUUUUUCGUUCCUUUUAAUAAGAAGUAACGACGUGGCCUUCCUCUUAAGAUUAAACUCGUUUCGAAGUCUGUCUUCGGGAGUCCGUGUAUUUGGUCGCCCCUUAUGAAAAUUGAACGGUGGUAGACCGCGACGAUCAGGUAGUGGACUUGGCUUUUACAUAGGUACCCCGUUGCUCCGUUCAGGGGUCUAUUUACCAUUUGGUAGACCGCGACGAUCAGGUAGUGGACUUGGCUUUUACAUGGGUACCCUGUUACUCCGUUCAGGGGUCUAUUUACCGUUUGGUAGACCGCGACGAUCAGGUAGUGGACUUCGCUUUUUCAUGGGUACCCUCUUGCUCCGUUCGGGGGUCUAUUUACCAUUUGACCCUCUCUUCAAACGGUCAGGUAACCGUCUGUCUAAGUCUCUGUACCCUCUACUGAAACGUUCAGGAUGAAAACGUUGAUUACAUUUACCGAUGGUGUGAUCUUCAUUUCACGAUGUACUACUGUGUAUGUCGGGGUUCAUAGGUUUUUCACACUUGUCCAGUUCUAGUUCAAGGAAACGAAGACUAGGUCCCAGACUCGGUAACCUGCCCUACCUAUUUUGGAUACUCAAUGGAUUUUCACUUAGAGGAUUAAGAAGUCUUCUUUCUCUCUUGUUUUUCGUUGGUAUAGAAAGUGGGUAAAACGGUUGACUUCUACUUUACCGAGUUUGAAGAUAAGGUUCAAAACCCUUUCCUAUAUCUUGAGCGUCUACCGAAAGUCUACAUCUGUCAGGACUAUUUAGAGGAGGUCUUUUAGACCUAUCCUUUAGUGUAGAUUUUCUCCCAUUUUCUUCGUUUGCCGCGAAUGGAAGCGGACAAGGAAAACGGUGAAGACCUUGUGUUCUUUGAUAUUACAGUCUGUUUCUUGGGCACGUUACGGGUCUACUGAUGGAUUUGUCCCGAAAACUACUCAAUGACGACCACGACCCUUCCAAAGUUUGGUUCUAGUUCAGACUUUGUUCUUUAUCUUCAAGACUCUAUGACCGUCCAUGACCUCUCUAUUAAGCGGUCGUGGAGCUCCCUCAACUCCACGUCUACGUCCUACUACACCUAUUCGACCAGUUACGUCCUUUUAGAUUUUCCUUCGCUGAUUUGAGUUGUAAACUUCUCGUUGUUCUUGUCAAUGCCCAAGAAGUACUCUUCAAAUUCCUCCUCCAAUUGGUCGUCAACGAACCAACGUUCUUGAGAGAGCUCCUUAAACUUCGGAUAGUACGUCUUGAAUUCCGUCAUCGACUCUUCGUUUUUCGUAGUGUGUUCUUCGAGGAGGUUGUACGGCUCUCGUCUCAACCAAGAGUCGAGUUGCUACGGCUUUAGUUUUAGCGCUUCCAAGUCUUCUCUCGGGCCUUCUUCUACUUACCGGACUUUGUACACGAGUUCCUCGAGUAGUGGCUGUGGCGUCUAACUAGUUAGAGUGGACGAGAUGUCUUCAUGAGGGAGACAUUUCUUUAUAUUCUCACAAAUCACUAGAUUUGCGAGAAUAUAAAGAAAUGCCUCCCUCAACUAUCGAUUCCGCUUUGGACAUCCCAUAUAUAUCUUCCUACCACGGUCUUGCGUAUAGACCAAGGAAACGAAUGUCAAAUGUCAAACUUCUUGAUACGGUUCGUCAUCCUCCGAUAGGCAUCAAUGUUACGUAUGGCAAAGUGGCAGAGAUGGCAAAACGCAGUCACUUAGCGAUUGAAUUGGCACGGCGCAAAGAAAUUUACUUAUUACAGGACCAUAACAAAGAACAAAGGUCUGACUCAUUACAUUACUAGUUCAUGUCUCAGCGUUUACGAAUUCAAUCUAAACGACGGUACACUUACACUACCAAAUUUAGUUCACAUGAGCAGACCACUGUAUAAACUAAAGAAAGACGG